AAAUAUUUAUUCUAAUAAUUUUGGUGCUUAACCGUUCUAUACAUCUUGAUAUUUUCAGAUGAAUGUGCGGAAUGCCAUGGAUGAGGAUAUAGCUGAAAAAGCACCUAUUUGGAAUGACGAUAUGUACUUUAGAUAUAUCCACAUCUUGAAGAACUCAAAACCAGAAAAAGAAGAUGGUACACCAAUAUUUCAACUGACAAGGUGAUAAAAUAUCAAGAUAAAUGUGCAGAAUAUCAUGGAUGUGGGUCAAUCGAGGAUAUAGCUGAAAAACGAACUACAUUUUGUAUUUGCCAUUGCGGUGUUGGAUCGGACUAGAGACAGCAACUGAUAUUUCAGCUGACAAGAUUAUACAAUAUUGAGGUAAGUUGGGUUAAAACGCAUUUACGAAGUGUAUAUCUUGUGUGCCUUAGCUAUAUUCACAGAUUGAAAGACCUCCAAAGCAGAAAAAGAACAAGGUAGACAAAUGCAGCAAGACAGCUACAAAUACAAGGAGUCUAUAAAUCGAUAUUAGCUGACAAGAUGAUGAAUUAUUAAGUACAGUUUGUAUUUGAUAUGACGAUAUGGCAUUGCGGCGUCGGAUCAGACCUAAGACAGCAAUUGAUAUUCAACUGACAAGAUUAUAGAAUAUUGAGAUAAAUGUGCGGAAUGCCAUGGAUGUGGGUCAAUUCAGAAUAUAGCUGGAAAAGCAACUAAAGUUUUUAUUUGACAUUGCGGUGUCGGAUCGGACUAGAGACAGCAACUGAUAUUUCAACUGACAAGAUUAUAGAAUAUUGAGGUAAGUCGGGUUAAAAAGCAUUUAAAAACUGUAUAUAUGGUGUGAUUUAGCUUUAUUCGCAGAUUGAAAGAACUCCAAACCAGAAAAAGAACAUGGUACACAAUUGCAGCAAAACAACAAGUACAAGGAGUGAGUUAAGAUAUAUUCACAGGUCGAAAGAACUCAAAACCAGAAAAAGAGGAUGGCACACAAAUAUUUUAACUGACAAGAUGAUAGAAUAUAGAUUAAUGUGCGGAAUAUGCCAUGGAUGUGCCCAAUCGAGGAUAACUACUGUAACUAUAGCUGAGAAAAGAACUACAGUUUGGCAUUGCGGCAUCGAUCAGACAGGGAGAGCAACUGAUAUUUCAACUGACAAGAUUAUCGAAUAUUGAGGUAAGUCGGGUUUAAAAGCAUUAAUUUUUGCGAACUGUAUAUCUGGUGUGCUUUAGCUAUAUUCACAGAUUGAAGGACCUCCAAACCAGAAAAAGAACAUGGUAGACAAUUGCAGAAAGACAGCUACAAGGACUGAGUUAAGAUACAAAUCAAAACCAGAAAAAGAAGAUGGUACACAAAUUUGAUAUUUCAACUGACAAGAUGAUUGAAUAUUAAGAUAAAUGUGCGGAAUGCCUUGGAUGUGGGCCAAUCGAGUAUAAAGCUGGAACGUAGACGGGCAAGAUGUCAUGAUGUGCGCAAAUCGAGAAUGUAGAUGGAAAGGCACGCAAUUUCAUUUUAGGAGCACCCAUUUUCUUAUAAAAUCGCAUUAAUAAUAAUCAUGGUAUUUCAAAUGGCUAAUUCUCGAUGAUUAUAAAUACAUGUAUGUAAGUUUAUUUAUAAUUCUGACUUUGUUUUGCCGGCCCUUAUCAAUGUUUGUAUUAUGCAAUGUUUUUCAUUUGUAAAUUUAUACCUCAACAGUUAUAUACAAAUAUUUAAUUUAUAAAAUAGCUAUAAAUAUAUAUAAUAUAUUUAAAAUAUAAAUAAAUAUAAUUUAAUCGAAAUACUAAUGCCAUUAUUCAUUACAUCAUACUAAUUGCACUCAUACUUUUUCUAACUAAAAGGUAUCUUCCUCUUUUGUAAGUUUCCUCUUAGUGGGAGGUUCUAGGCAUCCGAUUAGCUAGGUGGCUAUAGUAAGCUGUAGUUAAGUACAGUUAGGGUAAUUAAGCACUAAGAGGAAUGAUACCAUUUAUACUCAUUCAAAUUCAUUAUCACUUUAUUUUUUGUUGUUUCUGUGCUGUUUCUUGAAGGUACCUUUCUCCAUCCCUGGCUUGUAGAGUAAGUAUAGGUAGGUUAUGUAAGUAUUAGGAACAGAGAAAUGGUGCCUUUUCUACUUCGCUUCUUUUCCUUCAUUUUUGUUUUGUCAUUCAUAUAAAAUACAUAAAAUUAAAAUUGAUAUAAUAUAAAUUAUAUAGAAUAAAUUGAUAUUUUCAAUAGUAAUUAAUUGAUGAUAGGAAUGAUAAAAUAAACAUAAAAUUAAAUCAAAAUUAAAUAAAAUGUAACUGUUGAGGUAAUUUGUAUUUUAUGCAUGUUGUUAUUUAUAGGCCUACAAUGAGUUUAAUUGCAUAAACACGUGUGGUUAAGCUCACGGGGCAGUGACAAGGGUGAGAAUUCAGAUCUUUCCUUACUGGAGCUAAUCUCCUGUCACUGUCGUGUGGUUUUCCCCGAGUACUUCGGUUUCCUCCACACACAAUUCACUACUCUUCUCUAUUCGGAAAAUUUUUAUUCAUUUCGGACAUUUUUUGACAGUGAAUAAAAUAAG
Molecule: long non-coding RNA, 2507 nt
Organism: Anneissia japonica
Lineage: Eukaryota; Metazoa; Echinodermata; Crinoidea; Comatulida; Comatulidae
Exons: 14
Source: RefSeq, a predicted model, not a curated record